CUGGAGAUGGCUCAAGGUUAAGAGCACUGGCUGUUCUUCCAGAGGACCUGAGUUCAAUUCCCAGUAACCACA
Molecule: transfer RNA, 72 nt
Filed under: Cricetulus griseus (Chinese hamster)
Lineage: Eukaryota; Metazoa; Chordata; Mammalia; Rodentia; Cricetidae
Rfam family: tRNA
About the family: Transfer RNA (tRNA) molecules are approximately 80 nucleotides in length. Their secondary structure includes four short double-helical elements and three loops (D, anti-codon, and T loops).
Source: Rfam by way of RNAcentral